GGGGCACGCAUGGUGCUGUUAGAAUGAGCUGACUAAUGACAUUACUAAAUUAUAAUUAGUAGAAAAAAUACUUUUCUGCAUCCAUGCAGUCAUGUUUAGACUAAAUGCAUUUUAAUUCUUAUAAUUUCUCUCUCAUCAGGCCUUUUAAAUACCUCAGACUCAGUGUCUGGACCCGGGACACACUUGUUGCUAGUUCUGUCCAGUUCUGCACUCCACUGGUACUGAUUUACUGAGCCUUGGCCUUCUUGCAAUCCCGCACUCACAAAAGAGGUGUGAUCUGUUAUCCCCACAGUCGCCACCGAUGAUACUGGAGCAACGAGAGCAAGACUGCAUGGAGCCAAGGAGACGAGCAUCGAUCCUGGCAAUUUUUCCCCUUGGACACCCUGAUUCCUGAUGAGCACAGCAUGGGUGACAUUCGAGUGAAAGUGUUUACAGGUUCCUAUAUCUCAGAUCACAACAGCACCGAGCAGAGGAGCAGCCAACAAGAAGCAGGUCCAACAACAUGCCUCUCAGCACGAGCGGGAAGUCUAAUUUUCACAUCUGCUCAUGUGAGAGGCUUAAAUCAACAAUCACUUAAGAUAUCAAGACUAUAUAAAUUACAAUGAAUUUAACGAGCAAAGCUCUUAAACUUCCAAUAUUGUGAGUGUUUGAAGGUCCCUGCUGAGUUGAGCAACUGUGGUGAGUAACCAAUGACUCAAAGAAGUGGCAGAAGUUCAGGUCUCUGUUCCACAGAAAGCUUAAAUGAUGCUGCCAUGUUUUGUAUUCCUGGCAGCUAGUGAUGAUGGCACAUCCUAGAAGAUCUUUAUCUUCAUCUAUGAACAUGGCACACUUUGUUCUGUUUAUUAUCAGUAUUGAUGGCCAGGAAAUUAGGUAAUGAGUAAAUACUAUGUGUUAUUAUUUCCAUGUUAAGCAUCAAUUUCACUAUUGCUCCUUAUAAUUGACAAAAUGAUCAUACCUAUGAUUUUCACUUAUUAGGCGAUAAAACAGUUGAAACAUCUCAUACACAUAGACGUUCCGAAUUUUGGGCUUUGUAAGAUGUUUAUUAAUGAUUUUUUUAUUUGUGAAUUUUCUAUUUAUUUAAUUACUAGGAUUCCUUGAUACAUAAAACAUUCAAAAGACAGCAUUUGUUUGAAAUGGAAAUCUUCUGUAACAUCAUAAAUGCUCACAACCUCAUGCAAGAACUUUUGCAUAGGCAAUUACAUUUUUUAAG
Cyprinus carpio (common carp) is the source of this 1210-nucleotide long non-coding RNA. Lineage: Eukaryota; Metazoa; Chordata; Actinopteri; Cypriniformes; Cyprinidae. The record is from Ensembl.